RNAcentral lists this ribosomal RNA (731 nucleotides) under uncultured organism. RNAcentral's name for it is "bacterial SSU rRNA". It matches the Rfam family "Bacterial small subunit ribosomal RNA", at positions 741 to 1472 of the family's 1533-position model. The record is from RNAcentral.
UGACGCUGAGAUGCGUAAGCCAGGGUAGCGAUCGGGAUUAGAUACCUCGGUAGUCCUGGCCAUAAACGAUGUCAACUAGUUCGGAGGUUCUCUGACGAAUUUCCGGCCGAAAUGAUAACGUUAAGUUGACCGCCUGGGGAGUACGGUCGCAAGGCUAAAACUCAAAGGAAUUGACGGGUGCUCACACAAGCGGUGGAGCAUGUUGCUUAAUUCGAUGCAACGCGAAGAACCUUAUCCUGGGCUUGACAUGCUUGGAUGCCUACCUGGAAACAGGAUCGGCUGCCCUUCGGGGUGAAACUUGCACAGGUGCUGCAUGGCUGUCGUCAGCUCGUGUCGUGAGAUGUCGGGUUAAGUCCCUUAACGAGCGAAACCCUUGUCGUUAGUUGCCAGCGAGUAAUGUCGGGGACUCUAACGAGACUGCCGGUGUUAAACCGGAGGAAGGUGGGGAUGACGUCAAGUCCUCAUGGCCUUUAUGCCCAGGGCUGCAAACGUGCUACAAUGGUCGGUACAAACCGAAGCGAGACCGCGAGGUGGAGCAAAUCGGAAAAAACCGGCCCCAGUUCGGAUUGGAGUCUGCAACUCGACUCCAUGAAGUUGGAAUCGCUAGUAAUCGUACAUCAGCGCGGUACGGUGAAUGUGUUCCUGAGCAUUGUACACACCGCCCGUCAAGUCAUGGAAGCCGGGAGCGCCCGAAGUCGCCCUGAUUCAAGGGUGCCUAAGGUGAGCUCGGU